Long non-coding RNA from Homo sapiens (human), 618 nucleotides. RefSeq lists it as uncharacterized. The record is from RefSeq and is a predicted model, not a curated record. Lineage: Eukaryota; Metazoa; Chordata; Mammalia; Primates; Hominidae. The transcript is spliced from 3 exons.
CAUCCUCCCUGUGGCUCCAGAAUUAACUCUCGAAACAACAGGAUUUGGGGUAGGAAGGUUACAGCUAAGGAGCCGCCAGUCCCCACCCAUCUGCUCUGGGAGAAGUUAUCUCGAGGUCCAGUUAAGCGGUCCAGCAACUCCGAAGGACUCGCUGGAAAGUCCUGCACACCAAGCUUGCCCCUUCUGCAUAGCUCGGGAUUUUCCAAAUGCAGACCAAGAGGGAUUGAGCUCUCCUCUACCCUGCCUGGCCCAGAAGUUCCAUUUCCUACCUCCUUCUAGCAGGGGAGCAGGGGCCUUCCUUGGUGGCCCCCAGGAUGGCCCUAUCUCAGAAAGACACAACCACGACUUCUCUGUAUAAUAGACACCACCACACAAAGUUCCUGGGUGUCCUUCGAACUUGGACAACCUCUGGCCUGGCAGUGUCCUGAAGAAAUUGACAACCCUCCAUCUGGACCUCCGCAUAAGUUUAAAAACCUAGCAACAUAGCUCCUCUGCAGGAGACAGGAGACAAGUGCUGGUGUAACCGAGUCUCUUGGAACAAUGGGAAGCCUUUCGGGAGGAUUAUUGGAAGAAAAUCCAGAGGGAGGGGGCUUGCUUAAAGAGAGUGACCACAGCCAG